This 515-nucleotide ribosomal RNA is filed under the name uncultured bacterium. Its description in RNAcentral is "bacterial SSU rRNA". It matches the Rfam family "Bacterial small subunit ribosomal RNA", at positions 15 to 518 of the family's 1533-position model. The record is from RNAcentral.
GAUUAUGGCUCAGAACGAACGCUGGCGGCGCGUCUUAAGCAUGCAAGUCGAACGGCAAGAGGUAGCAAUACCUCCUAGAGUGGCGGACUGGUGAGUAACACGUGGGUGACAUACCCUUCAGAUGGGGAUAGCUAUUAGAAAUAGUAGAUAAUACCGAAUACGAGCACAGGGGUUAGAGAUCUGUGAGGAAGGGAGCUAAGGCUCCGCUGAAGGAAUGGCCUGCGGCCCAUUAGCUAGUUGGUGAGGUAAGAGCCCACCAAGGCGAUGAUGGGUAUCCGGCCUUAGAGGGUGAACGGACACAUUGGGACUGAGAUACGGCCCAGACUCCUACGGGAGGCAGCAGCUAAGAAUAUUCCGCAAUGGACGAAAGUCUGACGGAGCGACGCCGCCGUGGAUGAAGAAGGCCGGAAGGUUGUAAAAUCCUUUUGAAACUGAAGAAUAAGCGUUGUAGGGAAUGACAGCGUGGUGACAGUAGGUUUUGAAUAAGCAACGGCUAAUUACGUGCCAGCCGCCGC